AAGGAGACAGGCUAUGCAAUUAGAUUUAGAUCACUCUUAUGUUUGCGGUACGUUUCAGAUAAAUAUUUCUGAUGGGAUCACGACUUGGCAACCAGUGCUGUCUGGCAGUCCAUGUGAGAAUGUCCAAGGUGAACUCAGAGCGGCAGAAGUUUGCCGUUGCACUGCACUGCGCUUGGUACGAGUCCUCAUUAGAAGGAAAAGUAUCCAUCCAACAUGGGCUGUCAGCUUAACAACUUUCCUCUUUCCCACAUACUCUUCUUUGAACAGAGAAGGGUUUUUUAUUAUUAUUAUCAAAGUCCCUCAGGAUCAUAGUUUAUGAGAGACUUCAUGCAAGUUUAAAACCUAUUUGAGUCUUUUCUUGCUGCUCAUACUUACACGCUUACUUAUACAAG
Molecule: long non-coding RNA, 392 nt
Filed under: Anser brachyrhynchus (Pink-footed goose)
Lineage: Eukaryota; Metazoa; Chordata; Aves; Anseriformes; Anatidae
Description: lncRNA (ENSABRG00000001022.1)
Source: RNAcentral